AUUGAACGCUGGCGGCAUGCCUUACACAUGCAAGUCGAACGGUAACAGGUUAAGCUGACGAGUGGCGAACGGGUGAGUAAUAUAUCGGAACGUGCCCAGUCGUGGGGGAUAACGCAGCGAAAGCUGUGCUAAUACCGCAUACGAUCUAUGGAUGAAAGCGGGGGAUCGCAAGACCUCGCGCGAUUGGAGCGGCCGAUAUCAGAUUAGCUAGUUGGUGGGGUAAAGGCCCACCAAGGCGACGAUCUGUAGCUGGUCUGAGAGGACGACCAGCCACACUGGAACUGAGACACGGUCCAGACUCCUACGGGAGGCAGCAGUGGGGAAUUUUGGACAAUGGGCGCAAGCCUGAUCCAGCAAUGCCGCGUGCAGGACGAAGGCCUUCGGGUUGUAAACUGCUUUUGUACGGAACGAAACGGUUCUCUCUAAUACAGGGGGCUAAUGACGGUACCGAAAGAAUAAGCACCGGCUAACUACGUGCCAGCAGCCGCAGUAA
This 493-nucleotide ribosomal RNA is filed under the name uncultured bacterium. RNAcentral describes it as "partial 16S ribosomal RNA". It matches the Rfam family "Bacterial small subunit ribosomal RNA", at positions 30 to 523 of the family's 1533-position model. The record is from RNAcentral.